ACCCUCCUGUAGCCAGGCCCUGGGUCUCUACCUGUGCGGCAUGGCUGCCAGUCCUGCUGGUGACCUGCCAGCGUGCUGGGCCUGUCCUUGGGGCAUGUGUCACGACCUUGUGGAGCCCUUAGUCCCUGGGAGCUGCCCUCUUGAUUGGAGGGAGGGGAAAUAAAUAAAAAGAGAAAGAAAAUAUUCCCUGGGAUGGGAGUAUUACCAUUAAGAGAAAUCUAGGCUUAGAGUUUGGAGAAUCAUCUCUUAGCUUCUUCCAAUGUUGACCUAAUGGAAAAGCCUGUGCCAGAGGUAAAUGCUCCCAGCCUAGAUGAUCUCAGGUGGCAUUGAUUGGAGACUGUCUGAAGAACUGGAGAGCAUGAAUCCAGAACUUGAGGAGACCUGAGCUGGAAAUCUGGAUCAAGUUUUCUUGGGCAGCCAGGAAUACACUGAACCAACAAUCAAACUGGCAGAAGCAAAAUGUUGCUCCAACUCAAAUUUAUGAUACCACAGAUAUAUUUGACAAGAGAUGAUGACUCCGCUGCUGCUCUGGGUAGCCUGUUCCAGUGCUUGACAACCCUUGCAGUGAAGAAAUGUCUCCUAGUAUCCAGCUAAACCUUUUUGGCCCAAUUUAAGAAAGAAGAUGAGUGGCAAAGCUGAAGACAAGACACUGAGUGAAGAGUCCUCCUGCUUUUAGUGCAAAUGAGAAGUGUCCCAUAAUCAUGGUCAACGAGACUUGCUUACAGUAACCUUGUUAUUCACUGGAUUUUCCCACCAACAGACUGUCUAGUGGUUUUCUUGCAUUUAUUUAUAUGGGGAUCUCUGUUCACCAUACGAAUCACCUGCUGUUGCAGGAAUAUAAAAAGUUGAUGAUAACAACAUAAGAGAUAUAACACAAAUCUCUUAAUAAUUUGCCUUUUGUAAUACCGAUGGAUGCUUAGUGAACAAGGCAUGAAAUGUUUCCCCAGCUAUGUUUAGGAGUUUCCUGAGGAAGGAUUUUUAUUUUGCGAUAACUCUAAUUGGUUAUAUCCUCUAUUGUCUUUGAUUCAGAAACACCACAGAUUUCUUAGGCUUUUUUCCAGUUUUGGAAUACAGUGUUUUGUAUCAUUUAAUCCUUUGUGGACUGAUGGCUGUGAAGGCAGAAGGGGUGAGAAGGACUUGGAGUAGAUGUUUGAAAGACUCAUCAGACUGAAGACUGCAAGUGUGAAGGAUGAGCACUUACAAUCUAUGAGUCAUACUCAUCUUUUGUUCUUGCCUCAUUUAAAUCAGUUUUCAGGCCACCCACAGCUCUUUAAUAAGGGUUAGCAGAAGUAGUCAAUAAUUAACUUAAAGAAGAUCAGUUAGAGAAAAAUAAGGACACAGAUUACACCCAUAAACAUGUGGCUCAGGUGUAAAACUUGCAUUUUUUUUCUAUCUUGCCAAAAACAAGCUGUGUACAAGAGAUUUGAUUAUAAACCCAUCAACUCAGUAGCUGAUGCUGUACAUAAUAAGAAGUGAUGAAGUGUGACGGCAGCAUAUCUGGUACAUUAUCAUAGUAAUUUGUAGACACACUGGCUGGAGAAAUGCUUUGAGUUACAAGGCUGCCAUAUCUGAGUGAGGAAACGAGCUGUGAGAGUGUUUCAGGGUGAUUAGGGCUUUUGGAAAUCACUGCCUUUGCAAGGCUGCACAACAUGCUCUUCAACAGCAUGAUCGUGGAUCUACACCACCAUGAGCAAACUAGCACCUGUCAUAACUAUUAAUUUUCUUUCUUUCUUUCUUGCUGAACAGAAAUAAAUGUGAUUAAGUAUGUACUUCAAGAUUACUUUGCCCAAAAUGUACUGCAGUGAAUACAGUAAAAGAUUUAGAACAUAACAAAUGAAAAAAACAUUUCAUUAUCUUAAAAUUACAGUCCUUUUCUUCUAGCUCCAUUUUGCCCCUUGAAUUUCAAAGUUCUGAGGAAAAGUAGGAAUGUAAGAUUAUCCAACAAUUCCCUGAGAAAACAUUUCACUCUUUAUUAUUGCAUGUUAAAUGUCUGUGACUGAAACAAGUCUAAUGGAAGUGAAGCUUGGCCAGUUGUCAUUCCAAAUCUAGGUCAGAAAUUAAAGAUCAAACAAGGUAUAAAGAUGGCAUAUUAUCCAGCUGGUUUUGUACCUUCUUAUUUAACCUUACAUUUUGCAAGAUGUCUGGAGCAUGCUGUUGUCUCUUCAUUGCAAAGCUGCCAAUUUCUAGGCAGAGUUGCCCCAAGUUUUUUGUCUGUAUGUCUCUACAACAUGGUACAAUAAAAUAUUACCAAGAGAA
This is a long non-coding RNA of Passer domesticus (house sparrow), 2256 nucleotides long. RefSeq lists it as uncharacterized. Lineage: Eukaryota; Metazoa; Chordata; Aves; Passeriformes; Passeridae. The transcript is spliced from 5 exons. The record is from RefSeq and is a predicted model, not a curated record.